RNAcentral lists this ribosomal RNA (253 nucleotides) under uncultured bacterium. Its description in RNAcentral is "partial 16S ribosomal RNA". It matches the Rfam family "Bacterial small subunit ribosomal RNA", at positions 524 to 776 of the family's 1533-position model. The record is from RNAcentral.
UACGUAGGGCGCAAGCGUUAUCCGGAAUUAUUGGGCGUAAAGCGCACGUAGGCGGCUUUGCAAGUCGGAUGUGAAAUCCCUCGGCUUAACCAAGGAAGUGCAUCCGAAACUGCAGAACUUGAGUACUUAAGAGGAUCGCGGAAUUCCCGGUGUAGAGGUGAAAUUCGUAGAUAUCGGGAGGAACACCAGUGGCGAAGGCGGCGAUCUGGGAAGAUACUGACGCUGAGGUGCGAAAGCGUGGGGAGCAAACAGG